AAUUAAAAACGACCUUUAUUAUUAUUAUUAUUUUUUACUCACGGUUUGCUCUGCUCGCAGAUUGAAGAAUCUCAGAGGCUCAUCCUCAUCUCCUAUCCUCGUCGUCGAGUUCCUGCUCAAUACUAACCUCAAAUCUAGUGUGUAAACAGGUGAAUUUUCCCAAUUAAAGAGGACGAAUUUUAUGGUCAAAGAAGAAGAUUUAGUGGUGAACUUAAUUAGAUUGUUGAAAGUUUUGUGCUUUACAUAUUUUGAGCUGAGCUGCGAGUACGAGGACGUCGACUUCGUGUUGAAUUAUAUGUCAACUAUCUUGCUGAUUGUAGUCUUGAGAUUUUGGAUGAUCCUUUGGUGACUGCACUGCUCGAGGUGUUAUAUGGGAUCCAAAUACCAACAAAGUUAAUGUUGCAAAAGAAGUUUGGCAAUACUUUUAUACGAUUAACAAAUUGGAUUACAAGAUGUUCAAGAGGGAAAGACGAGCAAUACCACAAUCUUGGGAGAUAUUUAGUGAGACUACAACUAAUAGAGAUUAGGUAAUGCCUCCACUCAACUUCCAAACACAUCAGAGGAAGGAAGGUAGCUAGAAUAUGAUUUUUUUUUUUUAACAGGGGAGUGCAUGUAUGUGCGGAAAAUGAUGAUGAAGUCGAUGUGGUUUCAAAUACGCGUUAAUGUAACGAAAUUGGUACAUCGGGUGAACGUCGACGCAAGGAACCUAAGAUUAGUAAAAGUGAUAAACUCGAGGCCUAUAUGAUACAGUGGCCAUCUACAAUUAGUUUGAGGAAUGAAGAAACUGAACUUAGAAAACUUGUAAAGAUCCAAUAAAAAUCAAGUAAUCAAUCGGAUAGUGAAGUUAAUGGUCCGGAUCCUUAGUCAAAUGUUAUUUGCUUGGUCAUCUUAAACAAUAUGGAAGGGGUGUCCAAUGAGGUUUAUAUGAAAGUAAUAAAGGCUUUUAAGAAUCUCGAUUUCAGGAUGUCAUUUGUGAAGACACCAGAAGCAAGGAGAAGACCUAUUUUGGAACAAUUUUGAUGUAACUGAUGUUUUAAUUUCUCUAGUAACGUGUAAUGUUGAAGGUUGAAGUACUGUGUUAUUUUCAAAGUUUGAAGUAUUUUUUUUCCUUUCAUGGUGAUGUCGUACUGUUUUCAUUUACAAAUUUAGUGAUGUUGUUGGUUGGAGAACUGAUGUUAAUUUUUCUUUAGUUUU
Molecule: long non-coding RNA, 1194 nt
Organism: Olea europaea var. sylvestris
Lineage: Eukaryota; Viridiplantae; Streptophyta; Magnoliopsida; Lamiales; Oleaceae
Exons: 5
Source: RefSeq, a predicted model, not a curated record